CCUACGGGUGGCAGCAGUGAGGAAUAUUGGUCAAUGGGCGAGAGCCUGAACCAGCCAAGUCGCGUGAGGGCAGACGGUCCUAUGGAUUGUAAACCUCUUUUGUCGGGGAGCAAAAAGGCCUCGUGAGGCCACAAGUUAGAGUACCCGAAGAAAAAGCAUCGGCUAACUCCGUGCCAGCAGCCGCGGUAAUACGGAGGAUGCGAGCGUUAUCCGGAUUUAUUGGGUUUAAAGGGUGCGUAGGCGGACUGGAAAGUCAGCGGUAAAAUCGAGAGGCUCAACCUCUUUCCGCCGUUGAAACUUUCGGUCGUGAGUGGGCGAGAAGUAUGCGGAAUGCGUGGUGUAGCGGUGAAAUGCAUAGAUAUCACGCAGAACUCCGAUUGCGAAGGCAGCAUACCGGCGCCCGACUGACGCUGAGGCACGAAAGCGUGGGUAUCGAACAGGAUUAGAUACCCUGGUAGUC
This 460-nucleotide ribosomal RNA is filed under the name uncultured bacterium. RNAcentral's name for it is "partial 16S ribosomal RNA". It matches the Rfam family "Bacterial small subunit ribosomal RNA", at positions 338 to 795 of the family's 1533-position model. The record is from RNAcentral.